UGGGGAAUUUUGCACAAUGGGCGCAAGCCUGAUGCAGCGACGCCGCGUGAGGGAUGAAGGCCUUCGGGUUGUAAACCUUUUUCGCUCAUGGUCAAGCCGCAGCUUUGGGUUGUGGUGAGGGUAGUGGGUAAAGAAGCGCCGGCUAACUACGUGCCAGCAGCCGCGGUAAUACGUAGGGCGCGAGCGUUGUCCGGAAUUAUUGGGCGUAAAGGGCUUGUAGGCGGUUGGCCGCGUCUGCCGUGAAAUCCUCUGGCUUAACUGGGGGCGUGCGGUGGGUACGGGUUGACUUGAGUGCGGUAGGGGAGACUGGAAUUCCUGGUGUAGCGGUGGAAUGCGCAGAUAUCAGGAGGAACACCGGUGGCGUAGGCGGGUCUCUGGGCCGUUACUGACGCUGAGGAGCGAAAGCGUGGGGAGCGAACAGG
RNAcentral lists this ribosomal RNA (422 nucleotides) under bacterium. RNAcentral describes it as "partial 16S ribosomal RNA". It matches the Rfam family "Bacterial small subunit ribosomal RNA", at positions 355 to 776 of the family's 1533-position model. The record is from RNAcentral.